Molecule: long non-coding RNA, 502 nt
Organism: Mesocricetus auratus (golden hamster)
Lineage: Eukaryota; Metazoa; Chordata; Mammalia; Rodentia; Cricetidae
Exons: 3
Source: RefSeq, a predicted model, not a curated record
GCAUAGCUAAUAGUGUGUCCUACGCCGGGACGGGAUUUGCGGAGUGCUGGGUGCUCCCCAAGUCAGUGUGGGGGCAAUUUCUCAUGGUCUUAAAAAAAGUAUCACAGGCCACCAAAUGGUCCAGGAUGCAGCACGCGGUAGGGGACGGCACCCCGUGCACUUUGGACUCCUGCUGUGCUCCACACUCGGUCUCCCAGGGCCACCACCUCAAUGCCACCUUCCCACUUUCAAAAGCCUGAGGAGGAGGGGAGCAGGGCCAGGGCCGGAGUACCUUGGAAGGACCCAAGAUGACCGAGGCCACUUUUCUCCCUUAGCCAUUCUGGCUCGCCUGCGCCCUCUACCUGCCGCGCAGAUUAAAACGAAUGUUCUCUUGGUAAGAACUGCAGCAAACUCCGGCGUACAUCAGAUCCACGGAAACCCCGUUUUCCAGGCUCGCCAACUUUUCUUCAGAACAGGGGAAAGGAAAUCUGAAGAGGAUUAAAAAAAAAAAAGCCUACCAAAU